GGGCCCGCACAAGCGGUGGAGCAUGUGGUUUAAUUCGAUGCAACGCGAAGAACCUUACCAGGACUUGACAUACUACAAAUUCUUUUGAGAAAAAGAAGUGCCUUCGGGAAUGUAGAUACAGGUGGUGCAUGGCUGUCGUCAGCUCGUGUCGUGAGAUGUUGGGUUAAGUCCCGCAACGAGCGCAACCCUUAUUUUUAGUUACCAAUUCGUUGGGUUCUCUAGAAAGACUGCCGGUGACAAACCGGAGGAAGGUGAGGAUGACGUCAAGUCAGCAUGCCCCUUAUGUCCUGGGCUACACACGUGCUACAAUGGUUAAGACAAAGAGUCGCGAGCUCGUGAGAGUCAGCUAAUCUCAUAAACUCGUUCUAAGUUCGGAUUGUAGGCUGCAACUCGCCUACAUGAAGGUGGAAUCGCUAGUAA
RNAcentral lists this ribosomal RNA (420 nucleotides) under uncultured bacterium. RNAcentral's name for it is "bacterial SSU rRNA". It matches the Rfam family "Bacterial small subunit ribosomal RNA", at positions 917 to 1341 of the family's 1533-position model. The record is from RNAcentral.